This 505-nucleotide ribosomal RNA is filed under the name uncultured bacterium. Its description in RNAcentral is "bacterial SSU rRNA". It matches the Rfam family "Bacterial small subunit ribosomal RNA", at positions 501 to 1006 of the family's 1533-position model. The record is from RNAcentral.
CUACGUGCCAGCAGCCGCGGUAAUACGGAAGGUCCGGGCGUUAUCCGGAUUUAUUGGGUUUAAAGGGAGCGUAGGCCGGAGAUUAAGUGUAUUGUGAAAUGUAGACGCUCAACGUCUGACUUGCAGCGCAUACUGGUUUCCUUGAGUACGCACAACGUUGGCGGAAUUCGUCGUGUAGCGGUGAAAUGCUUAGAUAUGACGAAGAACUCCGAUUGCGAAGGCAGCUGACGGGAGCGCAACUGACGCUUAAGCUCGAAGGUGCGGGUAUCGAACAGGAUUAGAUACCCUGGUAGUCCGCACGGUAAACGAUGGAUGCCCGUUGUCAGGCUGUUUCAGCCUGGUGACCAAGCGAAAGCAUUAAGCAUCCCACCUGGGGAGUACGCCGGCAACGGUGAAACUCAAAGGAAUUGACGGGGGCCCGCACAAGCGGAGGAACAUGUGGUUUAAUUCGAUGAUACGCGAGGAACCUUACCCGGGCUUGAAUUGCAGACGAACGAUUCAGAGA